UACGUAGGGACCAAGCGUUGUUCGGAUUUACUGGGCGUAAAGGGCGCGUAGGCGGCUUGUCAAGUCCCUUGUGAAAUCUCUGGGCUUAACCCAGAACGGCCAAGUGAAACUGACAUGCUAGAGUGCAGGAGGGGCAAUCGGAAUUCUUGGUGUAGCGGUGAAAUGCGUAGAUAUGCGGAGGAACACCGAUGGCGAAGGCAAUCCCCUGGGCCUGCACUGACGCUCAUGCACGAAAGCGUGGGGAGCAAGCAGG
Molecule: ribosomal RNA, 253 nt
Filed under: uncultured bacterium
Lineage: Bacteria
Description: partial 16S ribosomal RNA
Rfam family: Bacterial small subunit ribosomal RNA
Source: RNAcentral